Long non-coding RNA from Schistocerca gregaria, 529 nucleotides. RefSeq lists it as uncharacterized. The record is from RefSeq and is a predicted model, not a curated record. The transcript has 3 exons. Lineage: Eukaryota; Metazoa; Arthropoda; Insecta; Orthoptera; Acrididae.
UUUCAGAUAUCAGUGAUUUCUGUGAAUGCUACUUUUCAGUAUCUGUUAUUCUUAACUGCGAUUUGUCGCAGUUAAGGAACGUAGGUCGUGUAUCCCUCCGCCACUGCUAUUUUUGCUACUUCCGCGAUUUCUGUGACUUACCACCGUAUGAAAAAGUUACAUCUGCCCACACAGAAAAUUGCAUCUCAACAAACCUGUCAUUGGUACCCGAAGUACAUUUCAGUCACUCAGUAAAUUGAUAACUCAAAAUAUCAUUGUCAACAGAUCUGGAGAAAUUGCCACUGCGUCUUUAGACCGUAUUCGUCAGACGAGAGACACAGUUCUGACUCUUUGAUUACUGGUUGCUGUACGUAUCUAUCCAUAUCAAGGUUGUUGAGAGAGACUCGUGAAGAUUCAAGACAGCUCUUAGAGUAUUUUGCAGUUUAAAAGUGACGUAAUUGUGAAAUAAGUGUGCAGAUGAGUGAUUAAACAGUGUUUUGUUGAAGUUGUUAUGCGAUUUUAAAGGAAUAAUAAAUGUUAAAUAGAGUGA